RNAcentral lists this transfer RNA (90 nucleotides) under Sphingorhabdus sp. RNAcentral's name for it is "tRNA-Ser". It matches the Rfam family "tRNA". Rfam says of the family: Transfer RNA (tRNA) molecules are approximately 80 nucleotides in length. Their secondary structure includes four short double-helical elements and three loops (D, anti-codon, and T loops). Further hydrogen bonds mediate the characteristic L-shaped molecular structure. tRNAs have two regions of fundamental functional importance: the anti-codon, which is responsible for specific mRNA codon recognition, and the 3' end, to which the tRNAs corresponding amino acid is attached (by aminoacyl-tRNA synthetases). tRNAs cope with the degeneracy of the genetic code in two manners: having more than one tRNA (with a specific anti-codon) for a particular amino acid; and 'wobble' base-pairing, i.e. permitting non-standard base-pairing at the 3rd anti-codon position. RNAcentral also lists the same sequence under 3 other names. Lineage: Bacteria; Pseudomonadati; Pseudomonadota; Alphaproteobacteria; Sphingomonadales; Sphingorhabdaceae. The record is from RNAcentral.
GGAGAGGUGCCGGAGUGGUCGAACGGGGCGGUCUCGAAAACCGUUGUGCGAGUAAUCGUACCGAGGGUUCGAAUCCCUCCCUCUCCGCCA